This 440-nucleotide ribosomal RNA is filed under the name uncultured bacterium. Its description in RNAcentral is "partial 16S ribosomal RNA". It matches the Rfam family "Bacterial small subunit ribosomal RNA", at positions 338 to 795 of the family's 1533-position model. The record is from RNAcentral.
CCUACGGGUGGCAGCAGUAGGGAAUAUUGCUCAAUGGGGGAAACCCUGAAGCAGCAACGCCGCGUGGAGGAUGAAGGUUUUCGGAUUGUAAACUCCUUUUGUUAGAGAAGAUAAUGACGGUAUCUAACGAAUAAGCACCGGCUAACUCCGUGCCAGCAGCCGCGGUAAUACGGAGGGUGCAAGCGUUACUCGGAAUCACUGGGCGUAAAGAGCGCGUAGGCGGGAUAGCAAGUCAGAUGUGAAAUCCUAUGGCUUAACCAUAGAACUGCAUUUGAAACUGGUAUUCUAGAGUAUGGGAGAGGUAGGUGGAAUUCUUGGUGUAGGGGUGAAAUGCGUAGAGAUCAAGAGGAAUACUCAUUGCGAAGGCGGCCUGCUAGAACAUAACUGACGCUGAUGCGCGAAAGCGUGGGGAGCAAACAGGAUUAGAUACCCCUGUAGUC